CUGAUGUCUUGUGGUCUCACCUCGGCCUGCUGCUCAGCUCUCUCCUCGGUCCUCUCGUCUCCAAACUCACGGCUGACUGAACUGAACCUGAGCAACAACAACCUGGGAGAUUCAGGGGCUCGUCAGCUGAGUGAGGGGCUCAGGAGUGACAACUGUAAAUUAAAGAUACUGAGAUGAGGUCUGAUAUGAAUUGACUUUCCACCCCAGUAGACGUCAUGACCACCGUGUAAAACUGGGCCGCGUUCACCUGAUCUGCAAUAUGAGGAGGUGCUGCUGCUGACCUGAACAGACGUCUGAACAUUCACUGCCCUGCUGGUUCUGCUGUGCCUGUGCUCGAUGGCAAUGGCCUCUAUUUCUGACUUUCCAGCUGACCUGUUGGAGGAAUCGCCUUCAACCAUAAAAGCUGUGAGAGCUGGUGAGGUGAGGGGAAACAUGAGAGCAGCAAGAAGAUUUGGAUCAGAUGGAGGAGUUACAGCAGGAACAGGAUUUGGAUCAUUAGGAUCUGGAGGACUAUAUGGAUACGGAAGAGUCAGAGGAUGAUCUUUCAGGAUUUGGUAAAUUAGAGCCAAAAGGACCAAACAGACCAAUCGUUGCCAAGAAAGAUGAAGUCAAAGAAUGUCUAUUAGUUUAAAAUAAAACCAAACACA
Long non-coding RNA from Polypterus senegalus (gray bichir), 647 nucleotides. RefSeq lists it as uncharacterized. The transcript is spliced from 5 exons. The record is from RefSeq and is a predicted model, not a curated record. Lineage: Eukaryota; Metazoa; Chordata; Cladistia; Polypteriformes; Polypteridae.